AUUGAACGCUGGCGGCGUGCUUAACACAUGCAAGUCGAACGCGAAAGGGACUUCGGUCCUGAGUAAAGUGGCGCACGGGUGAGUAACGCGUGGAUAAUCUGCCCUUAUGAUCGGGAUAACAGUUGGAAACGGCUGCUAAUACCGGAUACGCUCAAAAUGAACUUUUUGAGGAAAGAUGGCCUCUGCUUGCAUGCUAUCGCGUAAGGAUGAGUCCGCGUCCCAUUAGCUUGUUGGCGGGGUAACGGCCCACCAAGGCAACGAUGGGUAGCCGAUUUGAGAGGAUGAUCGGCCACACUGGAACUGAAACACGGUCCAGACUCCUACGGGAGGCAGCAGUGGGGAAUAUUGCGCAAUGGGCGAAAGCCUGACGCAGCGACGCCGCGUGAGGGAUGAAGGUUUUCGGAUCGUAAACCUCUGUCAGAAGGGAAGAAACUACGUUGUGCUAAUCAGCAGCGUACUGACGGUACCUUCAAAGGAAGCACCGGCUAACUCCGUG
Molecule: ribosomal RNA, 496 nt
Filed under: uncultured organism
Description: bacterial SSU rRNA
Rfam family: Bacterial small subunit ribosomal RNA
Source: RNAcentral